Oncorhynchus tshawytscha (Chinook salmon) is the source of this 1426-nucleotide long non-coding RNA. The record is from Ensembl. NCBI's taxonomy places the organism in Eukaryota, Metazoa, Chordata, Actinopteri, Salmoniformes, Salmonidae.
AUCCAACCUGGAUCGAUAUUUGGUUUUAAUGCAGACGAGUGCACUGAGUCUAGCUUCACACAGGCAACUGGUAGCCUACCAUGAGUUUUAUGGUGCUUUCAAGGCAACUGGGAACUCUGAAAAAUACGAGGUCAAAUCAUGACGUCAGUGAUCUUUAGGUGGAAAUCGGAGCUCAAGAAAUAGGUCCGAGUUCCCGAGUUGGAAUUCGGAGUUGGAUGACUAUUCAAAACUAUUUUUUCCCAGUCGGAGCUCGUUUCUUUACAAGUUCCCAGUUUUCUUGAACGCAUUAAACACGGAAGUCGGAGUUGUCAGAGUUCCCAGUUCCCCGCACGGUAUAUUCCCUUUGAGUCAGGAACCAAAGUGCUCUUUCAAGCAUUGGAGGGAUUUUGGAAAGUCUCCCACAACCCCAUUUUCACAUUGGGCGACUGCUCUAGACUAUGUGACACUUUUCUACUUCAUGUGAGGGAGAGGAACAACAUCAACAUUGCAUUGAUAUGCUGGCACUGAAACAUGAGUGAGUGAGGUAUUGCUUCCCACCAGGAGAAGAAGAGCGUCAGAUGAAUCCUUGGGUUUUCUUGUGGUGGUGUCUGCUGGGGCCAGGGUCUUGCGUGGUCUUCAGGAAUCUGGUGGACAACGGGCCUCCCGAAUGGCGCAGUGGUCUAAGGCUCUGCAUCGCAGUGCUAGCUGUGACACUAGAGAUUCUGGUUUUGAGUCCAGGUUCUGUCGAAGUCUGCUGCGACCGGGAGACCCAUGGGGCGGCCCACAAUUGGCUCAUCGUCGUCCGGGUUAGCGACUCCUGUGGCAGGUCGAGCGCAGUGCAUGCUGACAUGGUCACCAGGUGUAUGGUGUUUCCUCUGACACAUUGGUGCGGCUGGCUUAAGGAUUAAGUGGGCAUUAUGUCAAGAAGCAGUGCGGCUUGGUUGGGUUGUGUUAUGGAGGAAGCACGGCUCUCGACCUUCGCCUCUCCCGAGUCUGUACAGAGUUGCAGCGAUGAGACAAAACUGUACUAACAAUUGGAUACCAUGAAAUUGGGGAGAAAAAGGGGUGAAAAAUAAACUUUUUUUUUUUUAAAGGAGUCUGGUGGACUAGAGGUGGACAAGAGCAAAGCAACUGUUGAGGUUGCCUAUUGACUAUAAUGAUAUGCAUAUAGCCUAUUGACUAUAAUGAUAUGCAUAUAGCCUAUUGACUAUAAUGAUAUGCAUAUAGCCUAUUGACUAUAAUGAUAUACAUAUAGCCUAUUGACUAUAAUGAUAUGCAUAUAGCCUAUUGACUACCGCCCCGUAGCACUCACAUACGUCAUCAUGAAGUGCUUUGAGAGACUAGUCAAGGACCAUAUCACCUCCACCCUACCUGACACCCUUGACCCACUCCAAUUUGCUUACCGCCCAAAUAGGUCCACAGACGAUGCAAUCUCAACCACACUGCA